UCGUACAAAAUGUGUGAGGCAUGCAAGGGCUGUCGCUGACUUUUAAACACAAAAGUCGUGCACGCCAGAGUGUGUCCUCUCACAUAAAAUCCAUCUCACCCCUUUGUGCACCACCGCGUGGGCACCCUCCGGGAUCAUACCGAUCCAGGAGGGGGCUUGCGUUUUCACACAAAACCCCUUUUUAAAAAGUGUAGAAUGACCUCAUUUUUGCGAUAACACGCAAUCAAUA
RNAcentral lists this unclassified non-coding RNA (229 nucleotides) under uncultured Lactarius. RNAcentral describes it as "sequence contains ITS1". The record is from RNAcentral. Lineage: Eukaryota; Fungi; Basidiomycota; Agaricomycetes; Russulales; Russulaceae.